GGUGGGGUUCCCGAGCGUUCAUAAGGGAGCUGACUGCAAAUCUGCCGUCAUCGACUUCGAAGGUUCGAAUCCUUCCCCCACCACCA
This 86-nucleotide transfer RNA is filed under the name Salmonella enterica subsp. enterica serovar Senftenberg. Its description in RNAcentral is "tRNA-Cys". It matches the Rfam family "tRNA". Rfam says of the family: Transfer RNA (tRNA) molecules are approximately 80 nucleotides in length. Their secondary structure includes four short double-helical elements and three loops (D, anti-codon, and T loops). Further hydrogen bonds mediate the characteristic L-shaped molecular structure. tRNAs have two regions of fundamental functional importance: the anti-codon, which is responsible for specific mRNA codon recognition, and the 3' end, to which the tRNAs corresponding amino acid is attached (by aminoacyl-tRNA synthetases). tRNAs cope with the degeneracy of the genetic code in two manners: having more than one tRNA (with a specific anti-codon) for a particular amino acid; and 'wobble' base-pairing, i.e. permitting non-standard base-pairing at the 3rd anti-codon position. The record is from RNAcentral. Lineage: Bacteria; Pseudomonadati; Pseudomonadota; Gammaproteobacteria; Enterobacterales; Enterobacteriaceae. RNAcentral also lists the same sequence under 1 other name.